RNAcentral lists this ribosomal RNA (569 nucleotides) under uncultured bacterium. RNAcentral's name for it is "bacterial SSU rRNA". It matches the Rfam family "Bacterial small subunit ribosomal RNA", at positions 337 to 917 of the family's 1533-position model. The record is from RNAcentral.
UCCUACGGGAGGCAGCAGUGGGGAAUAUUGGGCAAUGGAGGAAACUCUGACCCAGCGACGCCGCGUGCGGGAUGAAGGCCUUCGGGUUGUAAACCGCUUUCAGUAGGGAAGAAGCGAAAGUGACGGUACCUACAAAAGAAGCACCGGCUAACUAUGUGCCAGCAGCCGCGGUAAUACAUAGGGUGCAAGCGUUGUCCGGAAUUAUUGGGCGUAAAGAGCUCGUAGGUCGUUUGUUACGUCGGAUGUGAAAACCUGAGGCUCAACCUCAGGCCUGCAUUCGAUACGGGCAAACUAGAGUUUGGUAGGGGAGACUGGAAUUCCUGGUGUAGCGGUGGAAUGCGCAGAUAUCAGGAGGAACACCAAUGGCGAAGGCAGGUCUCUGGGCCAAUACUGACACUGAGGAGCGAAAGUCUGGGGAGCGAACAGGAUUAGAUACCCUGGUAGUCCAGACCGUAAACGGUGGGCACUAGUUGUGGGAACCUUCCACGGUUUCUGCGACGCAGCUAACGCAUUAAGUGCCCCGCCUGGGGAGUACGAUCGCAAGAUUAAAACUCAAAGGAAUUGACGGA